ACAUUGGUGGUUCAGUGGUAGAAUCCUUACCUUCCAUGCUGGAGACCUGGGUUCGAUUUCUUGCCAGUGCA
RNAcentral lists this transfer RNA (71 nucleotides) under Loxodonta africana (African savanna elephant). It matches the Rfam family "tRNA". Rfam says of the family: Transfer RNA (tRNA) molecules are approximately 80 nucleotides in length. The record is from Rfam by way of RNAcentral. Lineage: Eukaryota; Metazoa; Chordata; Mammalia; Proboscidea; Elephantidae.